AGUUAACAUUGCAACUGCUGAUUUUGAAAGGCUUAUUUCUGGCUGCCCACUGCUUGAACGAUUGAUUGUAAGAAAUUUGAGCUGUAUUGAUCAUCUUCACAUCAAUGUCCUCAAUCUCAAGUAUUUUUGCUUUGAUGGAGAAUUCAAAUCUAUUUGUUUCGACACUCCACUUCUUGAGGUUUUGUCUAUCAAUUUAUAUC
RNAcentral lists this unclassified non-coding RNA (200 nucleotides) under Hevea brasiliensis (rubber tree). Lineage: Eukaryota; Viridiplantae; Streptophyta; Magnoliopsida; Malpighiales; Euphorbiaceae. The record is from RNAcentral.